CCACCAUCAAGUUAAGACCUUUUAUUUAAGGCCACUAUGAAAACAUAACGUGUUUCUGAGUCAAGUCAGAAAGCCUGGCAAUGAUGACUUGCUGUUUUUAAGAUCUUUGUGCUUGUAACUCCAGUUAUUUUUAAUCAUUUAAAGGAAUAUACCUCAGCAUUCUAUCUGGGUGGUCUAGAGAUUGAAGUAAUGUAUUGUAGCAGUCUGGAAUAACUGUUAUCAGGCAAUCAGGGCUUUGCAGACUAUUACAUUCUAAGCAUGUUUUCAUUGCCCUGUGUAAAUAUUUUGAUGAUUGCCUAUGUGCACUAAUAACGUUUUGCAUAACAAAGAAUAACAGGUGCAGUGGAAAGGGAAUCAAGUUCGAGGAUGCAUUUUUAAUAUAUCGUGUGCGUCUUGACUUUUCUAAAUGUAUAGUAAUAAUAAUAGCAGCUAUCGUGGUGUAAUUAGUUGCUAUGGAUAACCUAUGACAAUGAAAACCUUCUUUUGGGGACUUCCCUGGUGGUCCAGUGGUUAAGACUCUGUGCUUCCACUGCAGGGGGCAUGGGUUCCAUCUCUGGUGAUCCCUGGUCAGGGAACUAAGAUCCUGCAUACUGUGCUGCGUGGCUAAAAAAUUAAAAAAAUAAAGAAGAACAAAAGAAACCUUCUUUUGGAGUAAAGUAAGAAAUCUCCCCAGAUGAGUUCAGAAGAUCAUGGAGAGGCACUCUGAUCAAAACCUCUGCUUCCCAGGGGUGCAGCCCUCUUACAGCCUGGGGUGAUCAUUCCCUGGGCUUUGUUGAGCCUGUGUGAUUAAUAGGCAGGAAGAAGUAAGGACAGUGUCAGGAAAACACAAACUCAGGUUUGUCCAUCCAAUGAUCAGAGGCAGUGAUAACAAGCACUUGAGUCCACCACCACCCACGCGGAUGGAGGAGAUGUGAGCACUGGCUAAUUUAGAAAGGAUGAAUAACGCCUGCCGUCAGCCAGGGCCAGAGGACGAGGCAAACUCUUCGUGGGAGGUAGAAUUUUUUUCCUUUUAAUGGAUAUAUUUGGAAAUCUAGUUUAACGUGCACUUGUGCUUAGAAGAAAAACUGUCAAACGGCUUUCCUACUGUGAUCAAGUUUUUUGGAAUUCAAGGAAGGUGAAUUCCCCCUCCCUCCAGAAUUGUCCGACAACAAUUUCCUAUAAGAUAUGUAAACCAAACCCAUAUAUUUCAUGCUAUUUUCAUCAUGUGAAGUCAGCCUGAAAAUAGAAUUUAAAGAAAAAUGAAGACUAAUACAAAAAGGUACAAUCCAAAGUCCUUUUCAGCUGUCUUGGCAUUAAAAUCGUGGGCAGAAAGCAGUGUCUUUGUUGUAAAAUGGAAUAAAAAUUGCUGGAAAAUUAAUACGAUAAUACUUCUGUGAAUAUCUACAGAGAAAAAAAAUCCAAAUUCAUUCAUCCAACAUAAAUUAAAUACAUUGGUUCUCCCUCCCCCAACUUUUGAGGUUACUUUUGGGGAUGUUCAUUUUACAUAGUUUUAUGAACAUGAGAUUAAUGUAGCUUUCUUUCUUUUUUUUUUUUUUUUUUUUUUCUGUACGCGGGCCUCUCACUGUUGUAGCCUCUCCCGUUGCGGAGCACAGGCUCCGGACGCGCAGGCCCAGCGGCCAUGGCUCACGGGCCCAGCUGCUCCGUGGCAUGUGGGAUCUUCCCGGACUGGGGCACGAACCCACGUCCCCUGCAUCGGCAGGCGGACUCUCAACCACUGCACCACCAGGGAAGCCCCUAAUGUAGCUUUCUGAUGAGAUGCAGGCUUAUGGUUCUCUCUCUGUCUCUGUCUCUCCCUCUCUGUCUCUGUCUCUCCCUCUCUGUUUCUCUCACUCUUUCUCUCUCUCUUUCUUGGUAUAAAUCACUUCAUCUCAGUUACCCUAAAUAAGAACUUUUUGAUCUUCUCAAACACUAAUUUUUAAAUCCUAGUCUGAAACCAACUGAAAAGCUGGCACUUUAAAAAUACCUAUCAAUCUAAUCUCUCUCCCUAUAUAAUUCUAGUUCAUCUAUCCUGGAGAGUGCAAGGCAAGUUAUUAAACACGAGUAUUUUAUUCAUUCACUGAAUCCUCUCUUAUAAUAGACAUGAAUGUUCUAUUUCAUGGCUUUCAUUACUAGGUUCAUAGGCUCUUAUAAUUGUUUAAUAAAAUUUUAAAGUGUAACACAGUUUGCUGUAAAAAAAUACCCCAUAUUUCUCCUGACUGUUGGGUUAUGGAUCCUUAGCUCUUAUUUGGACCACUCUCACCCUUCAACAUUCCUGUAUUAAUGGUGAAACAAGAGUAAUGAAAACUCCAACAAGAAGAUAAAAUGGCAAACAGCAUAUCAGUGGCUGACUGAGAACACAGCACUACACAUAGAUUAAGAGUUCAUUACAUAUUGAAUUAAUGGGGACAAGUAUUCAGGGUUUUUGGCUUUCGGUUCUAUGGAGUGUGCACUCAGUUACGCCAAGUUUAGUGAGGCUGAAAGAGAAGUCAGUUUCAGGGGAACUAAAUCGUCUCUGUAAUAAAGAGAGCAGUAGUAUGUACCCGUUUGGCAGGGAAGGUUACUAUUAAUACAUUUCAUGGAUUUAAGAGAAAUCUAUUAAUAAAACACUAUGUUUCAGGCAAGUGAGGGCUUACAAAGUGAGUAUGACAUAGGCAUUUUCCCCAAGCUGUUAACAUCAAAAGAGGGAGACAGACUUCUGAAUAUCUUAUCAUAACACAACAUAAUCCGUGCUACAAUCAAGGUCAAAUUGACGGAUGGAGAGAGAAAAUAAUUCAUCUUAAAUUUAUAAAACUUUUCCAUUUUCAAAAACAAGAUUCCUUCUUAGUCCAGCAUAUGUUAAAUUUUUGGAUAAAGUAUAUUUUUUAAAAUGUUACUUUAAUGCAAUUUUUACUGGUAAGAAAAUAUGGGAAUUCCUUGAAGGCCAGUAAAACAUGUACAGGGGUACAGAAGUUGACUUUUGUGGGGUUAUUGGCAUGAAACUUACAGUUUUUAAACACACAUGGGACAUUUUUGGAAGUCAACUGGAUACAUUUGGCCUUAAAGAUCUCAAUUUUUUUUGAAAGAUUGGUAAUAUACCUAUCACAUUUUCUUACUAUAAUGCAAUAAAAAGAUCACUGAAAAUGUUCUAUACACUCAGAAAUUUUAAAACACACUUCUAAACCAGUCAAGGAAGAAUUAAUUAAUAGAAAUUAGGCAAUUCUUAGAAAUGAAUAAUAAAUAAAAUACUAUAUGUCAAAACUCGUGGGAUGUAGUAAGAUUAUGCUGAGAGAUAAAUUUGUAGCCUUAAAUGCUUAUUUUAACAAAGGAGAAAUGCAAAAAAAAACCCAAAAAACAAAUUGAGCUAAGCAUCCAAUUUAAGAAAUCAGAGGGAAGAACAAACUCACUUAAUAACCCAAAGAAAGUUGAAGAGACAGAAAUAAAUGAAACAGAAAUUAAAGAUACAAAUGAGAAUAUCAAAAAAGUCUGCUUUUAAAAGAGUAAUAAAAAUGGCAACUUCUGUCAGGCUUUGUCAAGGAAAAAAAAGAGAAAAGAACGUUACUAUACACGUAACAUUACACGAUUAGAUAAGUGAGAGAAGACAAGUUUAUGCCCCCAAAUUUAAAAACUUAUAAGAAAUAGAUGUGUUCCUAGGAAAAUAAAAAUGAUCAGAACUGACUCAAAUCAAAUAAAACCUGACAUGUGCUAUCACCAUGAAAGGAAUUGAAUAAAAAUUUAAAAUCUUUCUGUGAGCAAAAUCCUAGGCCCAGAGUAUUUUCAUUGAUGAGUUCAAGGUGUUAGUAAUUCCAAACGUAAACUCUUUCAGAGAAGAGAAAAAGAUGAAGCACUCCUCAACUCAUUUUUUAAGUCCAUUACAACCUUGAUACCAAAAUCAGACAAGAAUGGUAUGAGAAAAGAAACUUGUUAAAAGAAAUUAUUAAACAUAGAGGCAAUAUUCUGAAACAAAAUACCAGCUACCAAAAUGUAGCCAUCGAUUAGAAAAAAGUCACAGCCAAGCUAACAAAUCUGGAGCCAACUUAGUUAGCAGGUUAAGGGGGAGUGGGAGGGGAGAGAGGAACAUGGUUACUUUUACAGCCGUAGAACAAACAUUUGAUAAAAUUACACACCUAAUCAUGAUUUAACAAGUAAGGAAAUGCAGCUUCUGGCAACAGGAAGACCAUCACUACCUUAACUGGAAGAAGUGAAUCUAAAAAAUUGUAUUUCUUUUUCAGAGAUCUGGAAGGUAACUAAAAAUGAGCUUUCUCCCUCUAUAGAAAGAUGAGGAAAGGCUGUUAAUAUUUAAACCAUUUUUUUGCCCCAUUACAUAUAUAAACGUGUGUGUAUGUUUGUACAGAUAUAAAUAUACACAACCACACAGAGAUUUAUUGCAGAGUAGUUAAGAAGGUGAGUUCUGGAGGAAAAUUGCUAAAUUAAAAUCCUAGGAUUGUAUGUUUUGGGGCCAAUUUUCUAACCUCCCUGUGCCUCAGUUUUCUCAUCUGUAAAAUGGGUGAGGAAAACACCUCAUUGGUUUGUUGUGAGAGUUAAAUAAAUAAAUACCUGUGAAGCAUAUAGGAAAAUGCCUGACAGAUUGUAAGCACUCAGUAUAAGUAUUAGUGGCUAUGGUGAUUUUCUUUUUUGGUACUAAAAUGUUUCCUUUAUAUUUUUUCUGUAUUUUCCAAAUUUUCUACAAUAUUUUGCUUUUGUAAAAAGAGCUAUUUUAAACACACACACAGACACACACACCUAUACUGCUCACAUACACCCCCUGCAAAAGCCCUUUGAUCUGAGUUGCCUCAUACGCUUCCCUGGAAGGUUGAGUUGUGGCGAAACAUCACUUCUGAGAGCUCUGCCCUCACCCGUCAGGGCACCUCAAAGUUCACUGUUUCUCCUAAGACAGGAUGGUUGAAGCAUUGCUCUGACCACGUGUUAUCAACCCCGUGACAGUCCACUGUGAGCCCUGGUGACUCCAGAGGCAAAGGAAAGGCUCUUUCUGAUCAUGCUGAGACAAAUAUAAAGCAGAAUCACCCAUGGGACUUCCUAAUCAAGGAUGUUCACACUCUGCCCCUGAAGACUGUGAUUUGGCAGGUUCUCUGCAUUCCCUUUGCCCCACCAGACCUUCACAUGACCUGUCAACUGCUACGUGUAUUAUCACCUCCUCAGACAGCCUUCCCUGCCCACGCUGUUGACACGGGGCUGCCCAGUAGACACAUCAGUUUCAGGUUCCAGCCUGUGUCUGUGUCCUUUGCACAAGGAACAGGUGGCCUUCCACGCUUUCACGAGAUGACAGUCCACGAUAUUUAUGGUGAUUCGUCUCACGCUGUCCAGUGCAUUUUUUAUUGCACCAAAGAUCAACAGGAACUUGAGUUUUAUACACAGAGGUGAAAGAUCUCUCUGACAAGAGCUGGGCACAGUCUCAGCAUUUCCUUUUACCUGGUUGCUUUUUUACUUGUGUUCCUAACAGAUGUCCUGGAUUUAAAUAACUUGAUUAUUUUUCAGUUAAACUUCGCAAUAGUUAAUAUUGUUCCUAUGGUACAGAAUUAAUUUUGAUGAGGUGAUGAUAUCAGGAGGACAUCGAGCUCUUCUUUUAUUGACUCCCUUUUGUAAAGUUCAUAAAAAUGAACUUCGAUUCACCUAUUUACUCUGGGAGUUAAGAAGGAGACACUUACUGAUAUAUUUUGAUAUCUGUAAAAAAUAUAUAGCCUUUCUGAUACUUACAUUUCUGGUUUUCAGGGCUCACAGUGUCAGAAAAUGGAAAUGGUGUGCCUCUAAUGGUUCACUUUCAUUGCCACAUUUGUCCAGUUUAGCCAAACAAACUGUCUACUUCAGGGCCCAUCCUUCAGGGGUAUGUAGGACGUAAUCAUAUUUUCUCUAUCAUAUCCAUGUUUAUAUAUGGAUGUUACAAAACUUACAUUAUUCAGUGUACCAUUCUAUAUCUCACAUUAUUCUCUUAAAUGUAUUACAUAACUAUUUUCCCCAAGUCAAUAAAUAUUUUCCUGAAGCAUAA
Orcinus orca (killer whale) is the source of this 5959-nucleotide long non-coding RNA. RefSeq lists it as uncharacterized. The transcript has 3 exons. The record is from RefSeq and is a predicted model, not a curated record. NCBI's taxonomy places the organism in Eukaryota, Metazoa, Chordata, Mammalia, Artiodactyla, Delphinidae.